GAUUUACUUCGGUAAUGACGUUGGGAAAGCGAGCGGCGGAUGGGUGAGUAACACGUGGGGAACCUGCCCCUAAGUCUGGGAUACCAUUUGGAAACAGGUGCUAAUACCGGAUAAUAAAGCAGAUCGCAUGAUCAGCUUUUGAAAGGCGGCGUAAGCUGUCGCUAAGGGAUGGCCCCGCGGUGCAUUAGCUAGUUGGUAAGGUAACGGCUUACCAAGGCGACGAUGCAUAGCCGAGUUGAGAGACUGAUCGGCCACAUUGGGACUGAGACACGGCCCAAACUCCUACGGGAGGCAGCAGUAGGGAAUCUUCCACAAUGGACGCAAGUCUGAUGGAGCAACGCCGCGUGAGUGAAGAAGGUUUUCGGAUCGUAAAGCUCUGUUGUUGGUGAAGAAGGAUAGAGGUAGUAACUGGCCUUUAUUUGACGGUAAUCAACCAGAAAGUCACGGCUAACUACGUGCCAGCAGCCGCGGUAAUACGUAGGUGGCAAGCGUUGUCCGGAUUUAUUGGGCGUAAAGCGAGCGCAGGCGGAAAAAUAAGUCUAAUGUGAAAGCCCUCGGCUUAACCGAGGAACUGCAUCGGAAACUGUUUUUCUUGAGUGCAGAAGAGGAGAGUGGAACUCCAUGUGUAGCGGUGGAAUGCGUAGAUAUAUGGAAGAACACCAGUGGCGAAGGCGGCUCUCUGGUCUGCAACUGACGCUGAGGCUCGAAAGCAUGGGUAGCGAACAGGAUUAGAUACCCUGGUAGUCCAUGCCGUANACGAUGAGUGCUAAGUGUUGGGAGGUUUCCGCCUCUCAGUGCUGCAGCUAACGCAUUAAGCACUC
Molecule: ribosomal RNA, 821 nt
Filed under: uncultured bacterium
Lineage: Bacteria
Description: bacterial SSU rRNA
Rfam family: Bacterial small subunit ribosomal RNA
Source: RNAcentral